UGAGGAAUAUUGGUCAAUGGACGCAAGUCUGAACCAGCCAAGUAGCGUGCAGGAUGACGGCCCUAUGGGUUGUAAACUGCUUUUAUAUGGGGAUAAAGUGGGGAACGUGUUCCCUUUUGCAGGUACCAUAUGAAUAAGGACCGGCUAAUUCCGUGCCAGCAGCCGCGGUAAUACGGAAGGUUCGGGCGUUAUCCGGGUUUAUUGGGUUUAAAGGGAGCGUAGGCCGUUUGGUAAGCGUGUUGUGAAAUGUAGGAGCUCAACUUCUAGAUUGCAGCGCGAACUGUCAGACUUGAGUGCGCACAACGUAGGCGGAAUUCAUGGUGUAGCGGUGAAAUGCUUAGAUAUCAUGAAGAACUCCGAUUGCGAAGGCAGCUUACGGGAGCGCAACUGACGCUGAAGCUCGAAGGUGCGGGUAUCGAACAGG
RNAcentral lists this ribosomal RNA (424 nucleotides) under Verrucomicrobiota bacterium. RNAcentral describes it as "Verrucomicrobia bacterium partial 16S ribosomal RNA". It matches the Rfam family "Bacterial small subunit ribosomal RNA", at positions 355 to 776 of the family's 1533-position model. The record is from RNAcentral. Lineage: Bacteria; Pseudomonadati; Verrucomicrobiota.